This 323-nucleotide long non-coding RNA is filed under the name Gallus gallus (chicken). RNAcentral describes it as "lncRNA (ENSGALG00010009553.1)". Lineage: Eukaryota; Metazoa; Chordata; Aves; Galliformes; Phasianidae. The record is from RNAcentral.
CCUGAGGUGAGCACUGAGUCAGCUGCAGGACCACAGGUGAAGGCAAUUCAACUGUGACCGGAAGGGGUGGAGCCUGGCUCCACCUCUUCUAGAUCCCAUUUAAGGGCUGUCUGCCACUGGGAAAGGAUCUCUUUCUGGGAUUGCUCCUCUUAGAGUUUUUCCUGUGAGCAUACAACACAGUUAUAAAUCAGCCCUGUGGACUGUCUCAUCAUGUAAUCCUGCCAGCUCAACUCUGACUAUAGCCAAGGAUGAAGAAGGCAAGAGGACCCUACUGCACAGAAUGGAGAAAUCUUAUGAAGAGAAGACAACUUUUGUCCCAGUUU